GAGGCUCCAGCGCGCAGGCGCCGCCGAGCCCUGCCUGGAUGCUCAGUCAAGGCACUAAGGCAAAAAAAAAAAUCAGCAAUUUAUAGAAAGAAGAAGCUAUAGUCUGUCGGGAUAUCCAACACCAACAGUAGGGCUUAUUGAGAGCUCCAUUUCUGGAAAGCGUUGCAAGACUGAGGAAUAUCAGACUGCGAAUCACCGGGAACAGUUCCCUUGCAGCACAGAAGCAAUCUCUCCCCAUCUUCGCAUAUUCUGAUGGCAAAUCAAAUGGAAGAAAAGAGGAAGCAUGACUGCAGAUCGGAUCAGUUCUCUUUGUGGAUUACA
Long non-coding RNA from Balaenoptera ricei (Rice's whale), 321 nucleotides. RefSeq lists it as uncharacterized. The transcript is spliced from 3 exons. Lineage: Eukaryota; Metazoa; Chordata; Mammalia; Artiodactyla; Balaenopteridae. The record is from RefSeq and is a predicted model, not a curated record.